UACGAAGGGGGCUAGCGUUGCUCGGAAUCACUGGGCGUAAAGCGCACGUAGGCGGAUUGCUAAGUCAGGGGUGAAAUCCUGGAGCUCAACUCCAGAACUGCCUUUGAUACUGGCGAUCUCGAGUCCGGGAGAGGUGAGUGGAACUGCGAGUGUAGAGGUGAAAUUCGUAGAUAUUCGCAAGAACACCAGUGGCGAAGGCGACUCACUGGCCCGGUACUGACGCUGAGGUGCGAAAGCGUGGGGAGCAAACAGG
RNAcentral lists this ribosomal RNA (253 nucleotides) under uncultured bacterium. RNAcentral describes it as "partial 16S ribosomal RNA". It matches the Rfam family "Bacterial small subunit ribosomal RNA", at positions 524 to 776 of the family's 1533-position model. The record is from RNAcentral.